This 439-nucleotide long non-coding RNA is filed under the name Phoenix dactylifera (date palm). RNAcentral's name for it is "long non-coding RNA (PDAC_LNC020111)". Lineage: Eukaryota; Viridiplantae; Streptophyta; Magnoliopsida; Arecales; Arecaceae. The record is from RNAcentral.
GUCGAAGAAGCUACUUUAAUUCAAAUCCGGAACAGUUGCCGAGUCGACUCCAGAAAAGCAUGAGUCGACUCUCGCUACAGCCGAGUCGACUCCUGAUCGCGCGAGUCGACUCCGACCCCAACGGACACAUUGUCAGGUUGUGCAGAGUGUGCAGAACGGGCAGAAAAAGGUGUCUAACGGCUAGUUUCCGUGGGGGAUGGCUUAAAUAGCCACAGAGGACUGUAGCAAGGCAGAGAACUACCAUUCCAUUCAAAGAGAUCAAGCAUUUAUUCUCUGCAAACUUGCUUUCAACGAAAAAGAAGGAAGAGCGCCAUUAACUCCAUCCAACAACCUCUUCCCAGCAUUGAAAGAAGUCUCCUCCUGCAUUCAAGUCGAUCAGACGUUCCAGAGGAGACUCAAAGUUCAAGAAGCCUUAUUCUACUCCAACGCAAAAGUGUUU